GAUGAACGCUGGCGGCGUGCCUAAUACAUGCAAGUCGAGCGAACGGACGAGAAGCUUGCUUCUCUGAUGUUAGCGGCGGACGGGUGAGUAACACGUGGAUAACCUACCUAUAAGACUGGGAUAACUUCGGGAAACCGGAGCUAAUACCGGAUAAUAUUUUGAACCGCAUGGUUCAAAAGUGAAAGACGGUCUUGCUGUCACUUAUAGAUGGAUCCGCGCUGCAUUAGCUAGUUGGUAAGGUAACGGCUUACCAAGGCAACGAUGCAUAGCCGACCUGAGAGGGUGAUCGGCCACACUGGAACUGAGACACGGUCCAGACUCCUACGGGAGGCAGCAGUAGGGAAUCUUCCCCAAUGGGCGAAAGCCUGACGGAGCAACGCCGCGUGAGUGAUGAAGGUCUUCGGAUCUUAAAACUCUGUUAUUAGGGAAGAACAUAUGUGUAAGUAACUGUGCACAUCUUGACGGUACCUUAUCAGAAAGCCACGGCUAACUACGUG
This 497-nucleotide ribosomal RNA is filed under the name uncultured bacterium. Its description in RNAcentral is "partial 16S ribosomal RNA". It matches the Rfam family "Bacterial small subunit ribosomal RNA", at positions 28 to 507 of the family's 1533-position model. The record is from RNAcentral.